AGAGUUUGAUCCUGGCUCAGAACGAACGCUGGCGGCAGGCUUAACACAUGCAAGUCGAGCGAGACCUUCGGGUCUAGCGGCGGACGGGUGAGUAACGCGUGGGAACGUGCCCUUCUCUACGGAAUAGCCCCGGGAAACUGGGAGUAAUACCGUAUACGCCCUUUGGGGGAAAGAUUUAUCGGAGAAGGAUCGGCCCGCGUUGGAUUAGGUAGUUGGUGGGGUAAUGGCCCACCAAGCCGACGAUCCAUAGCUGGUUUGAGAGGAUGAUCAGCCACACUGGGACUGAGACACGGCCCAGACUCCUACGGGAGGCAGCAGUGAGGAAUCUUAGACAAUGGGGGCAACCCUGAUCUAGCCAUGCCGCGUGAGUGAUGAAGGCCUUAGGGUUGUAAAGCUCUUUCAGCUGGGAAGAUAAUGACGGUACCAGCAGAAGAAGCCCCGGCUAACUCCGUG
RNAcentral lists this ribosomal RNA (453 nucleotides) under uncultured Paracoccus sp. RNAcentral describes it as "bacterial SSU rRNA". It matches the Rfam family "Bacterial small subunit ribosomal RNA", at positions 8 to 507 of the family's 1533-position model. Lineage: Bacteria; Pseudomonadati; Pseudomonadota; Alphaproteobacteria; Rhodobacterales; Paracoccaceae. The record is from RNAcentral.